ACAGUCUGGAGAAAGGCUCCUGUGUUGCAGAACCUGCCCAGUGGUGGGCGGGGCUCGGUACCAGGCAGCCCUACCCUGACCCACAGUAAACCCCCAGGAGAGUGUUGCCUGGGUUUUGAAUUUGCAGUAACAGGUGUGAACAUUCUGGCAGCAGUCUGAUGGUCAUGUAUGAUACUGCAAACAAGA
This is a non-coding RNA of Artibeus jamaicensis (Jamaican fruit-eating bat), 186 nucleotides long. RefSeq annotates it as small Cajal body-specific RNA 16. The transcript has a single exon. Lineage: Eukaryota; Metazoa; Chordata; Mammalia; Chiroptera; Phyllostomidae. The record is from RefSeq and is a predicted model, not a curated record.